RNAcentral lists this ribosomal RNA (1946 nucleotides) under Salmonella enterica. Its description in RNAcentral is "partial 23S ribosomal RNA". It matches the Rfam family "Bacterial large subunit ribosomal RNA", at positions 905 to 2827 of the family's 2925-position model. Lineage: Bacteria; Pseudomonadati; Pseudomonadota; Gammaproteobacteria; Enterobacterales; Enterobacteriaceae. The record is from RNAcentral.
GAGCACUGUUUCGGCUAGGGGGCCAUCCCGGCUUACCAACCCGAUGCAAACUGCGAAUACCGGAGAAUGUUAUCACGGGAGACACACGGCGGGUGCUAACGUCCGUCGUGAAGAGGGAAACAACCCAGACCGCCAGCUAAGGUCCCAAAGUCAUGGUUAAGUGGGAAACGAUGUGGGAAGGCCCAGACAGCCAGGAUGUUGGCUUAGAAGCAGCCAUCAUUUAAAGAAAGCGUAAUAGCUCACUGGUCGAGUCGGCCUGCGCGGAAGAUGUAACGGGGCUAAACCAUGCACCGAAGCUGCGGCAGCGACGCUGAUGCGUUGUUGGGUAGGGGAGCGUUCUGUAAGCCUGCGAAGGUGGCCUGUGAGGGUUGCUGGAGGUAUCAGAAGUGCGAAUGCUGACAUAAGUAACGAUAAAGCGGGUGAAAAGCCCGCUCGCCGGAAGACCAAGGGUUCCUGUCCAACGUUAAUCGGGGCAGGGUGAGUCGACCCCUAAGGCGAGGCCGAAAGGCGUAGUCGAUGGGAAACGGGUUAAUAUUCCCGUACUUGGUGUUACUGCGAAGGGGGGACGGAGAAGGCUAUGUUGGCCGGGCGACGGUUGUCCCGGUUUAAGCGUGUAGGUGUGUGUUCCAGGUAAAUCCGGUUCACUUUAACACUGAGGCGUGAUGACGAGGCACUACGGUGCUGAAGCAACAAAUGCCCUGCUUCCAGGAAAAGCCUCUAAGCAUCAGGUAACAUCAAAUCGUACCCCAAACCGACACAGGUGGUCAGGUAGAGAAUACCAAGGCGCUUGAGAGAACUCGGGUGAAGGAACUAGGCAAAAUGGUGCCGUAACUUCGGGAGAAGGCACGCUGACACGUAGGUGAAGUGAUUUACUCAUGGAGCUGAAGUCAGUCGAAGAUACCAGCUGGCUGCAACUGUUUAUUAAAAACACAGCACUGUGCAAACACGAAAGUGGACGUAUACGGUGUGACGCCUGCCCGGUGCCGGAAGGUUAAUUGAUGGGGUCAGCGCAAGCGAAGCUCCUGAUCGAAGCCCCGGUAAACGGCGGCCGUAACUAUAACGGUCCUAAGGUAGCGAAAUUCCUUGUCGGGUAAGUUCCGACCUGCACGAAUGGCGUAAUGAUGGCCAGGCUGUCUCCACCCGAGACUCAGUGAAAUUGAACUCGCUGUGAAGAUGCAGUGUACCCGCGGCAAGACGGAAAGACCCCGUGAACCUUUACUAUAGCUUGACACUGAACAUUGAGCCUUGAUGUGUAGGAUAGGUGGGAGGCUUUGAAGUGUGGACGCCAGUCUGCAUGGAGCCGGCCUUGAAAUACCACCCUUUAAUGUUUGAUGUUCUAACGUGGACCCGUGAUCCGGGUUGCGGACAGUGUCUGGUGGGUAGUUUGACUGGGGCGGUCUCCUCCUAAAGAGUAACGGAGGAGCACGAAGGUUGGCUAAUCCUGGUCGGACAUCAGGAGGUUAGUGCAAUGGCAUAAGCCAGCUUGACUGCGAGCGUGACGGCGCGAGCAGGUGCGAAAGCAGGUCAUAGUGAUCCGGUGGUUCUGAAUGGAAGGGCCAUCGCUCAACGGAUAAAAGGUACUCCGGGGAUAACAGGCUGAUACCGCCCAAGAGUUCAUAUCGACGGCGGUGUUUGGCACCUCGAUGUCGGCUCAUCACAUCCUGGGGCUGAAGUAGGUCCCAAGGGUAUGGCUGUUCGCCAUUUAAAGUGGUACGCGAGCUGGGUUUAGAACGUCGUGAGACAGUUCGGUCCCUAUCUGCCGUGGGCGCUGGAGAACUGAGGGGGGCUGCUCCUAGUACGAGAGGACCGGAGUGGACGCAUCACUGGUGUUCGGGUUGUCAUGCCAAUGGCACUGCCCGGUAGCUAAAUGCGGAAGAGAUAAGUGCUGAAAGCAUCUAAGCACGAAACUUGCCCCGAGAUGAGUUCUCCCUGAGACUUAGAGUCUC